AUGUUUGAAAUUCCCGCCAAUUCCCAUUUUCCCACCAAGAAUUUUCGGGAUUUUCCUCUGCCGGAUUCCCGGGAUUCGCGCCGCGGAUCGGGAAAAGCUCGGAGGAUUUUUUGGGAAUUUCGGGAAUUCCAGUUGGGAAUAUUGAAAACCCCUCCCCCACAAAAAAACCCGGGAAAAAAAAUUCCUUCGUCCCUCCCAGGAGGGAAAAGCGGGAAUUUCCCGGGAAUUCCAGGAAUUCCAUGGAUUCUGACCCCGGCAUUCCCGGUUUUCCAGCCGCUCCCGCCGCCUACACCAUCUACAUGGGCAAGGACAAGUACGAGAGUGAGUGCCGGGAAUUCCGGGAAUUUUGGGAAUUCUGGGAAUUUCGGGGGCCGGGAAUUCCAGGAUUUCCUUGGGAAUAUCCCACAUUUCCCUCCCCACCCCCCUUCCUGUGGUUUUUUGGGAUUUCUUUGGAUGUUCCCGGGUUUAGGGGAGGGAAAAAUUCCCUUUUCCCGGGCAGAAUUCCCGGAUUUCCGGCCCCUUUGGGGAAUUUUGGGAAUCUUUUCCGGCUCUUUCCAGAGCGGUGCCCAGGGAUUGGAUCUGGCUGGGAAUUCCGGGAUUUGGGAAUUCCCAGGAUUUGGGGUUGGGGUGGGAAUUUGGGAUGGAAUUCCCGGGAUUUGGGUCAGGAAUUCCCAGGAUUUGGGGUUGGGGUGGGAAUUCUGGGAUUUGGGGUUGGGAAUUCCGGGAUUUAGAGCUGGAAUUCCAGGGAUUUGGGGACAGGAGGUGGGAAUUGGGAUGGGAAUUCUGGGAUUUGGGGUUGGGUUAGAAAUCCUGGGAUUUGGGGCAAGAAUUCCCAGGAUUUGGGGAUGGGAAUCCCGGGAUUUGGGGUUGGGGGUGGGAAUUGGGUCUUGGAAUCCCCGGAUUUGGGAAUUGGAGAUGAAAAUCCCGGGAUUUGGGGCUGGGAAAGCCGGGAUUGGGGAUUUGGGAAUUUGGGGAUUGGGAAUUUUGGGAACUCUGGGAUUUGGGAAUUGGGAAUUUGGGAAUGUUGGGAUUUAG
Molecule: long non-coding RNA, 1035 nt
Filed under: Cyanistes caeruleus (blue tit)
Lineage: Eukaryota; Metazoa; Chordata; Aves; Passeriformes; Paridae
Description: lncRNA (ENSCCEG00000020224.1)
Source: RNAcentral